GAUGAACGCUGGCGGCGUGCCUAAUACAUGCAAGUCGAGCGAACAGACGAGGAGCUUGCUCCUCUGACGUUAGCGGCGGACGGGUGAGUAACACGUGGAUAACCUACCUAUAAGACUGGGAUAACUUCGGGAAACCGGAGCUAAUACCGGAUAAUAUAUUGAACCGCAUGGUUCAAUAGUGAAAGACGGUUUUGCUGUCACUUAUAGAUGGAUCCGCGCCGCAUUAGCUAGUUGGUAAGGUAACGGCUUACCAAGGCAACGAUGCGUAGCCGACCUGAGAGGGUGAUCGGCCACACUGGAACUGAGACACGGUCCAGACUCCUACGGGAGGCAGCAGUAGGGAAUCUUCCGCAAUGGGCGAAAGCCUGACGGAGCAACGCCGCGUGAGUGAUGAAGGUCUUUGGAUCGUAAAACUCUGUUAUUAGGGAAGAACAAAUGUGUAAGUAACUAUGCACGUCUUGACGGUACCCAAUCAGAAAGCCACGGCUAACUACGUG
Molecule: ribosomal RNA, 497 nt
Filed under: uncultured bacterium
Lineage: Bacteria
Description: partial 16S ribosomal RNA
Rfam family: Bacterial small subunit ribosomal RNA
Source: RNAcentral